GACGAACGCUGGCGGCGUGCCUAAUACAUGCAAGUCGAGCGGGCCUCCGGAGGUGCUUGCACUUCCGGAAGGCCAGCGGCGGACGGGUGAGUAACACAUGGGCAACCUGCCUUUGAGGCCGGGAUAACACCGGGAAACCGGUGCUAAUACCGGAUGCGUCCUCUUUCGUGCCUGCGAGAGGGGAGAAAGACGGUCUUCGGGCCGUCGCUCCACGAGGGGCUCGCGGCGCAUUAGCUGGUUGGUGGGGUAAGGGCCUACCAAGGCGACGAUGCGUUGCCGACCUGAGAGGGUGAUCGGCCACACUGGGACUGAGACACAGCCCAGACUCCUGCGGGAGGCAGCAGUAGGGAAUCAUCCGCAAUGGGCGAAAGCCUGACGGUGCAACGCCGCGUGAGUGAGGAAGGUUUUCGGAUCGUAAAGCUCUGUUGUGAGGGAAGAACAGCUUCCGGAGGAAAUGCCGGAGGUUUGCCGGUACCUCACCAGAAAGCCCCGGCUAACUACGUGCCAGCCGCCGCAGUAA
Molecule: ribosomal RNA, 520 nt
Filed under: uncultured bacterium
Lineage: Bacteria
Description: partial 16S ribosomal RNA
Rfam family: Bacterial small subunit ribosomal RNA
Source: RNAcentral